RNAcentral lists this ribosomal RNA (592 nucleotides) under Cladophialophora carrionii. RNAcentral describes it as "LSU rRNA". It matches the Rfam family "Eukaryotic large subunit ribosomal RNA", at positions 63 to 670 of the family's 3401-position model. The record is from RNAcentral. Lineage: Eukaryota; Fungi; Ascomycota; Eurotiomycetes; Chaetothyriales; Herpotrichiellaceae.
AACCAACAGGGAUUGCCUCAGUAACGGCGAGUGAAGCGGCAACAGCUCAAAUUUGAAAUCUGGCCUCCCGGGGUCCGAGUUGUAAUUUGUAGAGGAUGUUUUGGGUACCGCCCCGGUUUAAAUUUCUUGGAACAGAAUGUCAGAGAGGGUGAGAAUCCCGUCUUGGACCGGCGGUAGGGCCUGUGUAAAACUCCUUCGACGAGUCGAGUUGUUUGGGAAUGCAGCUCAAAAUGGGUGGUAAAUUUCAUCUAAAGCUAAAUAUUGGCCAGAGACCGAUAGCGCACAAGUAGAGUGAUCGAAAGAUGAAAAGAACUUUGAAAAGAGAGUUAAACAGUAUGUGAAAUUGUUGAAAGGGAAGCGCUUGCAACCAGACUUGAGCGCGACGGUUCCCCUAGCCUUUUGGCUAGGUUACUCCGUCGUGUCCAGGCCAACAUCGGUUCUGAGGGUCGGUCAAAGGCUCUGGGAAUGUAUCUACCCACGGGUAGACUUAUAGACCAGGGUGUCAUGCGACCUCUCGGGACCGAGGAACGCGCUUCGGCUCGGAUGUUGGCGUAAUGGUUGUCAGCGGCCCGUCUUUGAAACACGGACCAAG